RNAcentral lists this ribosomal RNA (492 nucleotides) under uncultured bacterium. RNAcentral's name for it is "partial 16S ribosomal RNA". It matches the Rfam family "Bacterial small subunit ribosomal RNA", at positions 29 to 507 of the family's 1533-position model. The record is from RNAcentral.
AGUGAACGUUGGCGGUAGGCCUAACACAUGCAAGUCGAACGGCAGCACAGUAAGAGCUUGCUCUUACGGGUGGCGAGUGGCGGACGGGUGAGGAAUACAUCGGAAUCUACUUUUUCGUGGGGGAUAACGUGGGGAAACUUACGCUAAUACCGCAUACGACCUACGGGUGAAAGCAGGGGAUCUUCGGACCUUGCGCGAUUGAAUGAGCCGAUGUCGGAUUAGCUAGUUGGCGGGGUAAAGGCCCACCAAGGCGACGAUCCGUAGCUGGUCUGAGAGGAUGAUCAGCCACACUGGAACUGAGACACGGUCCAGACUCCUACGGGAGGCAGCAGUGGGGAAUAUUGGACAAUGGGCGCAAGCCUGAUCCAGCCAUACCGCGUGGGUGAAGAAGGCCUUCGGGUUGUAAAGCCCUUUUGUUGGGAAAGAAAAGCAGCAGGUUAAUACCCCGCUGUUCUGACGGUACCCAAAGAAUAAGCACCGGCUAACUUCGUG